GUGCACCCAGCCCCAGCCGUCCUGUCCUGGCCGCUCGCUCUGCUUCGCUGCGCCGCCACUAUGCUCUCCCUCCGUGUCCCGCUCGCGCCCAUCACGGACCCGCAGCAGCUGCAGCUCUCGCCGCUGAAGGGGCUCAGCUUGGUCGACAAGGAGAACACGGUGAGCGCGCGGGGAGGGCGCUGCGGGCAGGGGAGGGAGGCAGGGAAAGCGAAGCCGCCGCUCACUCACGCGUCUCCCCGCAGCCGCCGGCCCUGAGCGGGACCCGCGUCCUGGCCAGCAAGACCGCGAGGAGGAUCUUCCAGGAGCCCGCGGAGCCGAAAAGUAAAGCAGCUGCCCCCGGCGUGGAGGAUGAGCCGCUGCUGAGAGAAAACCCCCGCCGCUUUGUCAUCUUCCCCAUCGAGUACCAUGAUAUCUGGCAGAUGUAUAAGAAGGCAGAGGCUUCCUUCUGGACCGCCGAGGAGGUGGACCUCUCCAAGGACAUUCAGCACUGGGAAUCCCUGAAGCCCGAGGAGAGAUAUUUUAUAUCCCAUGUUCUGGCUUUCUUUGCAGCAAGCGAUGGCAUAGUAAAUGAAAACUUG
RNAcentral lists this small RNA (578 nucleotides) under Pan troglodytes (chimpanzee). RNAcentral describes it as "retained intron". The record is from RNAcentral. Lineage: Eukaryota; Metazoa; Chordata; Mammalia; Primates; Hominidae.